GACGAACGCUGGCGGCGUGCUUAACACAUGCAAGUCGAACGGAAAGGCCCUGCUUUUGUUGGGUGCUCGAGUGGCGAACGGGUGAGUAACACGUGAGUAACCUGCCCUUGACUUUGGUAUAACUUCAGGAAACUGGGGCUAAUACCGGAUAGGAGCUCCUGCUGCAUGGUGGGGGUUGGAAAGUUUCGGCGGUUGGGGAUGGACUCGCGGCUUAUCAUCUUGUUGGUGGGGUAGUGGCUUACCAAGGCUUUGACGGGUAGCCGGCCUGAGAGGGUGACCGGCAAAAUUGGGACUGAGAUACGGACCAGACACCUACGGGAGGCAGCAGUGGGGAAUAUUGCACAAUGGGCGGAAGCCUGAUGCAGAAACGCCGCGUGCGGGAUGACGGCCUUCGGGUUGUAAACCGCUUUCGCCUGUGACGAAGCGUGAGUGACGGUAAUGGGUAAAGAAGCACCGGAUAACUACGUG
This 468-nucleotide ribosomal RNA is filed under the name uncultured bacterium. RNAcentral's name for it is "partial 16S ribosomal RNA". It matches the Rfam family "Bacterial small subunit ribosomal RNA", at positions 28 to 507 of the family's 1533-position model. The record is from RNAcentral.